Molecule: ribosomal RNA, 110 nt
Filed under: uncultured eukaryote
Lineage: Eukaryota
Description: partial small subunit ribosomal RNA
Rfam family: Eukaryotic small subunit ribosomal RNA
Source: RNAcentral
UCGCUGCUACCGAUUGAAUGACUUAGUGAGCUGCAGGGAUUUUGGUCCUGGUGGGUUCGCUCACCUGGAUUAGAAAAACUGCCACAAACUUGAUCAUUUAGAGGAAGCAA